UACGGAGGGGGCAAGCGUUGCUCGGAAUUAUUGGGCGUAAAGGGUAGGUAGGUGGUCUCAUUUGUCUGGGGUGAAAGCCUUGAGCUUAACUCAAGAAGUGCCCCAGAAACGGUGAGACUAGAGUCCUGGAGAGGGUCGUGGAAUUCCCGGUGUAGCGGUGAAAUGCGUAGAGAUCGGGAGGAACACCAGAGGCGAAGGCGGCGACCUGGACAGGUACUGACACUCAACUACGAAAGCGUGGGGAGCAAACAGG
RNAcentral lists this ribosomal RNA (253 nucleotides) under uncultured bacterium. Its description in RNAcentral is "partial 16S ribosomal RNA". It matches the Rfam family "Bacterial small subunit ribosomal RNA", at positions 524 to 776 of the family's 1533-position model. The record is from RNAcentral.